UCAGUCUCCGCAUUUCCCCCACCUUCUUCUUCCCCAUCCGUCCUCUAGCUCUAGCUCUGGAUCUGGUAGCCUCGCCAACCAUGACCUCCUCCCUUUGCUUCGAGCUACUCUCCACACUUGCUCUGCCCUCUUUCUCGUAUGCAGACCGAUCCAAUUUCAGUUCGGGCGCGCGCUGUGGACUGCAUCUUGCUCUUGCUGCUCCGGUCCCAGCGGCUCCAGAUCUCUCGCUCGGGAUGGCAGGCAGAAAACAAGCCGGAAUUUUUUCCAUGCAACGGUUCUGCAUGCACAGACGGAGGGAGUAUUAUGGUAUAAUACUACUCGUACGGUAAAACCAAAACGUACACGAUUCUUCCCCCUCCUCUACCUAUCCCCAUCUAGGUUUUCUCUCCUCAGCACGCAUCCCGAUCCCGUGUGGCCAUUAUCUUCUUCCUCACCUCUUCUUUCCCUUGGUCUCUUCUUUCCUCUUCCUCUCCAAAACAAGAAAAGGUCAAAGAUCUUGGCAUCUCAAUUCUCAUGCCAUGGAUCCAGCCAUCUGGAUGGUUUCCCUCUGCCGACCUGAAAGAUAGCACAUCUUUUCUGCGUGGCUUCGACGCCUGUCGAAGCUCCGGCGGCCGCAGUCGAUGAUGACCAACACGGCGACGGCCAAACCUCUCUUCGUGAUUGGAUUUCUUGUUCCGCGGUGUCAAGAGGCCGGCUGAUACUAAUUCAACUUAUCUUCUUGUUCGGUAGGAUCUCCUCGCGGACGGCUCUAUGUGUUCAUUGUGUAAACACAGAUCGAUCUGACCUGAUAAUUAGCUGCUUAUGCCCGCUUGAUGGCCAGCUAGUCUCCUCUGCUUCAGAUACGAUGAUUUCUCUGACAUCCAACAGCUGUGAGGAAUUUGAUCGCUACAGUGAUACUACUGGUGCUGUUCUUUUCUUAUUAUUCAAGACAAGUGACAAACCCAAUCAUUAAGAAGAAAGCAAAUUUCUACAAAUGCAUGUUCUUGUUUCUGUGGACAAAUGGGCAAAGACCUGUUCGCGACACACGGACUAGUCCCAAAAUGAGGAAAGAUGGGCGAAUACUACACAUGGCGCCACUUGGUUGCUUCUCAGUCGACACACAAUUGAUUUUAGUCCCGCAGGCAGAUUCCAGCCUAACCACCCAAAACGCCAGGAUCUCCUCGCCGCCGGCUGUGUACACAAUGUCCGAUUCGACCUUGUUUGCCCAUGUUUACUAUGUGGUGUUCAUUGUGUAAACACGGAUCGAUCAGAGCUGAUAAUGAACUGAUUAUGCCCGCUGCUAGAAUGAGGCCGGCAGCCAAUGACAAAGCUGAGGCUGAGAAGAUACUAAACAUGAAAAAAGCAGGAGGAGAAGGUGAGUCCAGGUACUCGGCUAGUGUGGGCAUUGCAAGGCAGUGUCAGGCUAUCGUGGAUGGUCUGAGAGAUGUGUCCUCACUUUCUUGGAGGACGUCCCUUGUACCACUGCAAAGGACAUCAUGGGCAUGGUUCUGGUCACCCAAUACUUUGACACCAUCAAAGAGAUUGGCGCCGCAUCCAAUUCCUAUUCAGUGUUCAUCCCCCAUGGUCCUGGAGCUGUCAAGGAUGUUGUAUCGUACUACCUCCGUUCCGAAUUAGUCGACUCAGAUUUGUCUAGAUACGGAUAUAUCUAGACAUGUUUUAGUGUUAGAUAGAUCCGUAUCUAGAUAAAUCCAAGUCAACUAAUUUGAAACGGAGGGAGUAGAUAAUAGAGAGGUCCACUGAAUAACUUGAAUCCAAGAAACAAGCCUGCUACAACAAUCGCCAUAGCAGAUUCCAGACUAGAGACCCAAAACGCAGGUAAACUUUCUGAAGCCUCUGUCAAGCUAAGGAUCAUAACUGUUUUAGAUAGCAUCAAAGCUGACAAUCAGGAUUAUUCUAGAUUUACCCAGCCCCUGGUGACUUAAAGCAUGCAGUCGACAUCUUAUCCUUUCUCAGAGGCUGCUGUCAUUCGACAUAAAUCAAACACAAGCCAUAGAAAAACACUUUAAUGAUCUCGCGAUAGAAUCAGCAUAACCAUGUUCCAUCAUCAUGCUAUAGGUUCAAAACAGGCAUUCAAGCACAAAUCGUAGCAAACAACUUUGCUUUAUCUUGCUCAUCGUAAUUCAGUCUCACCGAUAUAAACUUGUACUGUCUCACUAUUUAUGCGCAGAAGAAAAUUACGGUAAUAACAUUUGUCCUGCUAGAACUUGCUUCAGUGGAGUCUGAUAUAGGUAUUUAUUCGCGGAAAGGAAAUGCAGAAAUAAGACUGGUAAUGCUGUCGAUUUGCACAGGCGACUUCCGUAGUGUUACUUAGUCUUCUCUUGCAAACACCUGUGAUCACAAGAAAAGUAAUGUCAGCAUAUUAUGUUGGUUUAUUUGUGUAUGUACUAUAAAAUAGCAUGCAACUUAACAUGAACUCUAUUGUUUGGCAGGGAACACCUUUGUGCUGACUAACUGUAACCUAGGAAACAACCAACUGACAUAGCAGAUACAAGAGAAGACCCAAAAUGACAAAUGAACUUAAUGAAGCCUCUGUAUUUCGUGUAAAUACAAUGUUUAACAAAUUAAGAAUCAUGGUUUUUUAGAUAACCCAGGCCCUAAUCAUUAUGCUGCAUACUUCAGUAUUGUCGUUCAUAGAGUAAUUUCAACACAAAAGUGCUUUGCUAGAACCAGCAUUCAUAAUCUGGUUCCAUCAGUAGUCUAUAGGUUCAUAGCAGUCAUUCAAGUCUAAACUGUACUCAUGCAGCAGAGAAGUUACAAAAGAAAAAUUAAGUAGUCUGGGGCAGUCUAAAGUUCUUAAACUUAUAAGACCUUAAUUAAGACCAGAGUUCAGAAGAAAAGGGGACUCUGCUAUAGGUUCAGAACACCAUGGAUUUUAGUUAAGCAGCCUCUCUGCUGAUUUUAGGUGGCAUCUUAUAAUUCAUCAUAGGCUGCUGCGUCCAGUACUGUCAUUCAUUCGACAAUCCAAACACAUGAAAAGGAAUGUCAGUUUACCUUUUUUUAGGUGUACUAUAAAAUUACAUGCAACAUAAGAUAUACAGCAGGCAGUUGUCAUCCUGGCAUUGAUCAUAGGCUGUCCAAGUUCUUUAUGUCAAUCAUAAAAGGAUUCUCUGCAUGUUCUAAUCUAGCAGUCAUUGUAUAAUGCAAAAAUUAACUGGUAGUUGAUCAUAAAAGUGAGAAUCAUGUCAUUUUAAAUUAUGCAGGCCCUAAUCAUAUAUAACUGUGGUAGUUGGUGUCUUGUUGUUUAUCAUAGGCUGCUUCCUCCAAUACUGUCAUUCAUACUUCAAUUCGAACACAAGGCACAGAACAAAUGAAAAGGAAGGCCAGUGUACUAUUUAUUUUGUGUGUACUAUAAAAUUGCAUGAAACAUAAGAUUAACUUUCUAUUGUUUGAUUGACAGGAAACAGCAUGGAUUUUAGUCCCGCCUCUAGACUAACUUGAACCCAGGAAGCCACAAGCAGUUUGCAUCUCGGGUGGUCCACAAUAAAGCUUCCUCUUCUUGGAGGCACGAUGCAACCAUUUCUAUUCUAGCAGUCAUUGUAUAAUGCAGAGAAUGCAUAAUCAUUCAUAAGCAGGUUCCAUCAGUAGUCUAUAGGUUCAUAGCAGUCAUUCAAGUCUAAACUAUACUCAUGCAGGCAGAGAAGUCACGGAAGAAAAAUUGAGUAAUAUGACCUUAAUUAAGACAAGUGUCUGCUAUAGGUUCAGAACACCAUGGAUUUUAGUUAAGCAGCCUCUGCUGAUUAACCGGAAUAGAGGAAACAACCAUGGUAAAAAUGACAGCUAAACAAAGCCACUGUUUUAGUGUUGAAUUAGAUUAACUCUUUAUUUAUUGUUUGAUGACAGGAAACACGGUGGAUUUUAGUCCUGCACCAUCUCUGCUGACUAACUAGAACCCAGGAUACACAACUCUGGGAUACACAACUCUGGCAAUACAAUUGACACAGCAGAUGAACUUUCUGAAACCUGUAACCAUAUACAGCAGGCAGUUGUCAUCGCGGCAUUGAUCAUAGGCUGUCGAAGUGCUUUAUGUCAAUCAUAAAAGUA
Triticum dicoccoides is the source of this 4041-nucleotide long non-coding RNA. RefSeq lists it as uncharacterized. The transcript has 6 exons. Lineage: Eukaryota; Viridiplantae; Streptophyta; Magnoliopsida; Poales; Poaceae. The record is from RefSeq and is a predicted model, not a curated record.